ACCAGGAUGGCCGAGUGGUUAAGGCGUUGGACUUAAGAUCCAAUGGACUGAUGUCCACGUGGUUCAAACCCCACUCCUGGUA
This 82-nucleotide transfer RNA is filed under the name Megalops atlanticus (tarpon). It matches the Rfam family "tRNA". Rfam says of the family: Transfer RNA (tRNA) molecules are approximately 80 nucleotides in length. Their secondary structure includes four short double-helical elements and three loops (D, anti-codon, and T loops). The record is from Rfam by way of RNAcentral. Lineage: Eukaryota; Metazoa; Chordata; Actinopteri; Elopiformes; Megalopidae.